Molecule: long non-coding RNA, 480 nt
Organism: Micropterus dolomieu (smallmouth bass)
Lineage: Eukaryota; Metazoa; Chordata; Actinopteri; Centrarchiformes; Centrarchidae
Exons: 3
Source: RefSeq, a predicted model, not a curated record
CUUUGCAAGAUUCGACAAACAACUGCACAUUUGAUGUGAGUGCUGUUGAAAGUGAGAGAGCACGACCGGUCUCUCAGCCUGAGAUAGUUCUCGUCGAUGCCAGGCAUGGAAGCUUUCUCGAGGGCCACCGUCAUCUUGUUGGGGUUCUUCUUUAGCCAAGUGAAUAAAUACCUAGCCAGGAGAGCCUGCGCUUGGGCAUGAAGCUGAAAUUUCUGACCCACAGUGGCAUAAAGAACAUCACCAUGAGAAGGAGUCGUAGAGAAGAAUAUGGGCAGCGUUUGACCAGCUUCGCAGUUUGGUAUGGGAGGAAGGACUGUAACACAGACACGAGGGGUUAUUAAGACUGGGAUUUCUAAAAAGAAGCGAAUUACAACAUAACAAAAAAUUAAAAGAUAUUUGCAAUAUUGUCUGUUCCGAGAAUAUAAUUGCAACAGUGAGAAAACCUACAAAAAUACUGUCAAAAUUUUAAAAAAUAAAUAA